CCCAAAACAAUAUCCCUUCCCAACUUUUAUUCUGCGAUGGAAACCCCUUCAUAAGUCUCGCGGCAGCCGACCUUCCCAAAGAGCCAACACCGCCUAGCUCCGAACACCGUAUGAGUGACUCUUCUCGUCCAGCGCUCGACAAGUCGCAUCGGCAACAAGCUAAGGAAAUAUGCAUUAGUGGAAGCGGCGGCAGAGCACUUUGAGGCAACCAAUUGUUUAGGGUUAUGUGAGCCGGGUCGGGUCGGUUGGGCCUCGGGUCUAGACUUGAGUCGGGUCUCACGGGUCAGGCCCAAACUAUAAAGACCAAUUACAGAAGGCUUGAAGAAAUUAAAACUCGGAGCCCAAGAGCAGCCUAAGUGUGACCCGGUUCAGUGACCCGACCUGGUGAAUUUAGGAUUUGCUAAAAUCCUAAUCCUAAAGCAAGCUGACACCAACUUGUCAUCCACGCCAUGCAGUGUCGAACGCCAAUCAUGCCACCAUCGAAGCUAUUGUUAUCAACCUACAUCAACAAAGACCACCGAAAAUGUCAUACACAGUCAACCAAAAUGGCACAAAGUCAAGAAGAACGUAACUUAAUCCCUACAAAUCUGGGAUUUCCACCUAAACCUAUAGACAUGCAACAAGAUAACAAGGAGAUUGGGUGAAGACGAUGGAGAUAAAAAUCGGGGGGCCCUCAACCAGAAAAGAAAGCUAAGUAAAAGGGCAGGAGGAGAGCAAAAAACACGAAAAAUAGAGGGAGAUCAACAAUUCAACAAACAAUCAGGGGGUAUUAUAUUUUUAUUCGAAAACAUUGUAAACGGGGUUCAAGGAAGGGAGGUUCACGAGAGCACGGAACCAGAAACCAACAGUGAGAGGCUCAGUUUUUCUACAGAACAGGGGAUUUUCAACAGAGGGGGAAAAAGCAUUGUAAGGGGGAGUUUUGGAGAGAUUUUCUUUGAUCGAAAAAAUAGCAGUGUAAACAGAGGGGUCGUUCCAUGUUUUUACAAAGAAUGAAAGGCUAGAAAUCUUUUUUUAAAAUUUGUUUUCCUAAUUCCUUCAUAAGUUUUUUUUUCAAUCAUUCGAAAAGCAUAAAUGAAGAGCAUUAAAAACUAGUGAAAUAUCAUUCACAACCAUCAUCUUCCAUUCCACAACGUUGCAACAAAAAAUUAAUCCUAAAAUCGUUCACACUUUCGAAUCAGCAAGCAGAGAAGAACAAGGAAUCGACAACCUCAAAAAAAUAUAUGAAAAGCUUUACCUUGGGUUCUUAACGGCGCAAGCUCCGGUGACUGAUUUGCAAAUCCCAACGGUGGUCGGAGGGGAGAGCUUCUUCGAUUUUUGUCUUCUAAAUCCGGUUCGUGGAGGUCCUGGUGCAGAAGAGAACC
Long non-coding RNA from Hibiscus syriacus, 1361 nucleotides. RefSeq lists it as uncharacterized. The record is from RefSeq and is a predicted model, not a curated record. The transcript is spliced from 3 exons. NCBI's taxonomy places the organism in Eukaryota, Viridiplantae, Streptophyta, Magnoliopsida, Malvales, Malvaceae.